This is a long non-coding RNA of Oncorhynchus masou masou (cherry salmon), 1506 nucleotides long. RefSeq lists it as uncharacterized. NCBI's taxonomy places the organism in Eukaryota, Metazoa, Chordata, Actinopteri, Salmoniformes, Salmonidae. The record is from RefSeq and is a predicted model, not a curated record. The transcript has 5 exons.
CUUAGCUAUAAUUGUGUACUUUGUAGCUGUGAUAAUCAGUGACGGCCAGACUGCUCAAUUGUUGGACGCGUUCGAGUAAAUCACUUUUGUCAGGGCUGCAGUACAAACACUUAAGACACACCCCCGUCCACUUUACCCUAGCCUUAUGCCCUUGGGGGAAUCCCUGUCGCCAUCUUGGACGGUGGUCCAAAUGAUUAGCCAAGCAAGGGAAAUUCGCAACCUAGCACUCGUUCUUAGUCGUUUUUGCGAGUGUACAAUUAUGUUAACUCAGGGGCCAGAACCGCACCAUAAUCCGCUAAUAAAAAUCCAUAAUUUAAAAACAACAUCACUGGAGAAGUCAACAUACAUGUAGUGAGAUGUUCUCCAACUACAAAUCCCACUGCACAAUGAGGGCAUUAUUGGGAAUAGCUCCUCAUGGACCGAUCACGUUUGUGUCCACACUGUACGCAGGCUCCAUCCUCAUCGAUGACCUUGGGUGAUUCGGAGGGUGAAAGAAGAAGUUGUAAGAACAAGGAGAAUGCUGAUGAGCUGGUUGCUGACGGCUGGUCCUGGGGCUGGCUAAGGGUCAAUCUCAUCCUCUUCUUCCAGCUCACUGUCAGACUCCGAGUUGACAGGACACUGGAGAGAAUGGCAGCCAUGUCUGAGGACAUCGGGAGAUGACUUGAAAACCGGCCACUAGGAGCAACAAUUUUUAUAGAUGUCCGCGACUUUUUGCCUGCGUGAAGUCCAGCUCUUUUCCUUAAACAUGUGUACAGUUUGGAGGAAGAAGGAUACCUUGACCUGUCGAAUUCUAUCCACCUCUGUGUGGGAUAUGUGUUCCUACCUCGUCUGCGGGCAGAUCUGCAGCAUUUCAGAGAGUUGGAAUAAUCACCCUUUAAGUACAAAGGCGAACCUGACACCUCACCAGCUGUGGCAUAUCGGAAUGCUCCAAACACCUGUGCACAUGAUUGAUUUUGUCUUAGCACUGCACCUUAGCACUACACACAAAUACAGAUAGAGAUGUAGUAGUCCCAGAGUUAAUGAUCCAAGAUCAGUUUUGCAUUUCACCUCCUGAUGAUUAUGAUGACUGACCUGUUAGAAUAAAAAAAAGGCUUAAUCAUGCUCUCUCUAUCCACCUGUCUCUCGUCUGCAGGUAUGUUUUGACAUGAGAGAGGAAGCCAGUCCUAUCAUUGCCAUCUCACCAGUUCUUAAGAUAACCUUCAGGCCACCUGGGGACCCAAGGCUGGUUAGGAGACACCGCUAGAGACACUGUAAUUGUGAUGAACUGAGAGAAUAGUAGGGUAGCACUGUAAUUCAUGAAUGAUAUGCUGUCUGCCUCUGUUCUUACAUAUUUCCCUCUGUCUUUUAUACCUCGCUCCCCAACUCGCCUUUCUUCCUUGUUUUAUAAUGUACACCAUAUGUGCAUUGAACAUGUAUUUAUAAUAUUACAAUUAUCAUAAUUAUACUGCAUGUAUUAUGUAUUUAUAACACCUGGAUAAUGAACUUCUUUCAAUAAAGCGUUUCACA